Molecule: long non-coding RNA, 879 nt
Filed under: Zea mays
Lineage: Eukaryota; Viridiplantae; Streptophyta; Magnoliopsida; Poales; Poaceae
Description: long non-coding RNA (ZMAY_LNC001304)
Source: RNAcentral
AUAUAAAAGAUGGUCAAAUUGACCUCAUUAUUAGUUUAAACAUUGUUAGCAAUUAUCUUUUUCCAAUCCUUCUUACCCACCAGUUGAUGAGGAUGAUUUGUUCUUCGUCUUCUUUGAUAGAUCCGCAACAGUAGGUAGAACCGGAAAGACCAUCCGUGCUGGUGUUGCAAGCACAAUUCUAGUCUCAGUAGUAACUGGUGCUAUCUUUUUCUUCUUUUAGGCGCACCUAUGCACGGACAGAUAUGUUAGCAAAAAUGCUGCUUUGCCUUCUGGGUCACCAUGCUUACAAGUGUAUCAAUGAUGUCCAUAUUGCUGAUAUACUGGACACUGAUGCCUACCCUUGGCUCCUUUGCUGUCACCAUCUGUUGCUCCCUUGUAACCUUUUUUUUUUUGUCAUAGGAUAUCAACAUUGUCCCAUAGUGAAAUUUCUGGUGGAUCAACAUCAGAUUUAUGGUUUGUGACUGACAUGCAAGAACACUUAGAACUCAUAUGUUUCGUGAACAUAUUCAUUAAGUCUUGGUCAGAAUAAAUUUGUACGUUGGACUUGCUAUCAGCACAGAAAUAGGACAACUUCAGUACAGUACCAUACCCACAAGGAAACUAGUCCACAAUUUCAUCAAGAAGGUCUUUAAAAUUUAUGUCUGAACCAACAACUUGCAUACCAUGGUCCUCAGUUCCUCACAAUUGGGAGUAAUUAUACUGAUUUUUAGAUUGAAACUGGUCUCAAUGUCAUUUCUACAUAUGAACCAUAUAGAGUUUACUCACAUAUACACAUUUCAAUCCAAUCCUAACGACACAUGGCACUACUGUUAUGCAUUCGAAGAAAGAAAACAAGAAGCGCUCACGCCGUCACGCGUCCGGAAGCCAAGCUGGUCGCCC